RNAcentral lists this ribosomal RNA (482 nucleotides) under uncultured bacterium. RNAcentral describes it as "partial 16S ribosomal RNA". It matches the Rfam family "Bacterial small subunit ribosomal RNA", at positions 30 to 507 of the family's 1533-position model. The record is from RNAcentral.
AUUGAACGCUGGCGGCAUGCCUUGCACAUGCAAGUCGAACGGUAACGGGCCUUCGGGUGCCGACGAGUGGCGAACGGGUGAGUAAUACAUCGGAACGUGCCCGAUCGUGGGGGAUAACGAGGCGAAAGCUUUGCUAAUACCGCAUACGAUCUACGGAUGAAAGCAGGGGACCGCAAGGCCUUGCGCGGACGGAGCGGCCGAUGGCAGAUUAGGUAGUUGGUGGGAGAAAAGCUUACCAAGCCGACGAUCUGUAGCUGGUCUGAGAGGAUGAUCAGCCACACUGGGACUGAGACACGGCCCAGACUCCUACGGGAGGCAGCAGUGGGGAAUUUUGGACAAUGGGCGCAAGCCUGAUCCAGCCAUGCCGCGUGCAGGAUGAAGGCCUUCGGGUUGUAAACUGCUUUUGUACGGAACGAAAAGCCUUCUUUUAAUACAGGAGGGUCAUGACGGUACCGUAAGAAUAAGCACCGGCUAACUACGUG